GAUUGGGAAUUACAUGGUCGAUAAUAGAUAGUGGUACUUGAUGACAGUAGAUAUAUAAAUAACAAUGAAAAUACUUGUGUUUCAGACGGUGAUGACAUUGGGGCGAGUUGAUUGUUAAAACAUGAUGGAUGAAGCGAAUGGAUGAGAUCGUUAAAGUUCAAUUGGGAAUACAAGUAGUUUGACGAUUGUUUUUCGAUAUUGUAGGAUAAGAAGCUGGAAUACUUGAAUUCGAAUCAUGGUGAAUGGAAAAGUUAAAGUUGUAAAAGAUAGAGAUAAUGUUUUGGGAUAUAAAUAAACUAAUGAAAGAAUAAUUCAAGUGAUUGAUAGUAAGUAUAUUCGUAUGUUGUUCAAAUAAAAUAAAGGUCGUUCAUAUAGAGUUGGGAAAAUAAACGAAAGUU
Schizosaccharomyces pombe (fission yeast) is the source of this 398-nucleotide non-coding RNA. The record is from the annotation of a GenBank genome assembly. Lineage: Eukaryota; Fungi; Ascomycota; Schizosaccharomycetes; Schizosaccharomycetales; Schizosaccharomycetaceae.